GGAAGUAAAAGUCGUAACAGGGUCUCCGUUGGUGAACCAGCGGAGGGAUCAUUACCGAAGUUACCUUCAAAACCCACUGUGAACCUUACCUCUUGCCGCGUUGUCUCGGCGGGAGGCGGUGUGCGUCGCGCGCCCUAGCGGGCCGCGCCGCUCCCGUCCCCGCCGGCAGCGCCAAACUCUAAAUGCACAGCGGACUGUACGUUCUGAUUUACAAAAAAAACAAGUUAAAACUUUCAACAACGGAUCUCUUGGUUCUG
Molecule: unclassified non-coding RNA, 257 nt
Filed under: plant metagenome
Description: partial contains small subunit ribosomal RNA, internal transcribed spacer 1, and 5.8S ribosomal RNA
Rfam family: Eukaryotic small subunit ribosomal RNA (bases 1-54)
Source: RNAcentral